Molecule: ribosomal RNA, 649 nt
Filed under: Streptomyces sp.
Lineage: Bacteria; Bacillati; Actinomycetota; Actinomycetes; Kitasatosporales; Streptomycetaceae
Description: bacterial SSU rRNA
Rfam family: Bacterial small subunit ribosomal RNA
Source: RNAcentral
AGCAGUGGGGAAUAUUGCACAAUGGGCGAAAGCCUGAUGCAGGGACGCCGCUUGAGGGAUGACGGCCUUCGGGUUGUAAACCUCUUUCAGCAGGGAAGAAGCGAAAGUGACGGUACCUGCAGAAGAAGCGCCGGCUAACUACGUGCCAGCAGCCGCGGUAAUACGUAGGGCGCAAGCGUUGUCCGGAAUUAUUGGGCGUAAAGAGCUCGUAGGCGGUCUGUCGCGUCGGAUGUGAAAGCCCGGGGCUUAACCCCGGGUCUGCAUUCGAUACGGGCAGACUAGAGUGUGGUAGGGGAGAUCGGAAUUCCUGGUGUAGCGGUGAAAUGCGCAGAUAUCAGGAGGAACACCGGUGGCGAAGGCGGAUCUCUGGGCCAUUACUGACGCUGAGGAGCGAAAGCGUGGGGAGCGAACAGGAUUAGAUACCCUGGUAGUCCACGCCGUAAACGGUGGGAACUAGGUGUUGGCGACAUUCCACGUCGUCGGUGCCGCAGCUAACGCAUUAAGUUCCCCGCCUGGGGAGUACGGCCGCAAGGCUAAAACUCAAAGGAAUUGACGGGGGCCCGCACAAGCAGCGGAGCAUGUGGCUUAAUUCGACGCAACGCGAAGAACCUUACCAAGGCUUGACAUACACCGGAAAGCAUUAGAGAUA